Molecule: non-coding RNA, 123 nt
Organism: Picea glauca (white spruce)
Lineage: Eukaryota; Viridiplantae; Streptophyta; Pinopsida; Pinales; Pinaceae
Source: Rfam
AUGUACAUGCCUACACCACAACAUUAAUGCAUCGUAUCCCAUUAGAACUCCGUAGAUAAGUGCGCUCAGGCUAGAGUAGUAUUGGGAUGGGUGACCACUGGGGAAGUCCUAGUGUUUUACAUU